Molecule: small RNA, 77 nt
Filed under: Burkholderiales bacterium PBB2
Lineage: Bacteria; Pseudomonadati; Pseudomonadota; Betaproteobacteria; Burkholderiales
Description: sX9 sRNA
Rfam family: Xanthomonas sRNA sX9
Source: RNAcentral
ACGUACAUCAAGUACGUUCCGGUUCCUGCGCUCCGUCCGCCUAGUCUGACGGCCGCUCGCUACAAAAGUCUUCACCC